GUUCAGUUAGUUAAUAAGAAUAUUGGUUUGUGAUAUCAGGGGUAUAUAAAUUAUACUGGACU
RNAcentral lists this transfer RNA (62 nucleotides) under Loxoblemmus equestris. RNAcentral's name for it is "tRNA-His". Lineage: Eukaryota; Metazoa; Arthropoda; Insecta; Orthoptera; Gryllidae. The record is from RNAcentral.